UGAAGAAAAUCUAAAUAUCUCAUGAAACAAUGAAAGUGGUUUGAAUUUUAGAGCAGACUGUUUGAAAAGAGAUUCUUGGAAUCUUGCUUGUUCAAAAACCUUUCAGUGCCCUGUAUGUGGGAAAAUCUUGUCAAGAAAGCAGACUUUGAAGAUACACAUGCAGACUCAUUUACAAUGUAGAAGCACAUAUGCAUGUAAAUUCUGUGGUGUUGUAUUUACAUGGAAAGAAAACUUGUCAAGGCACAUCAAAAUUAAACAUAGAAUGUGCUGAUCACUUUAGUUCUUUGUGGUUUAGCCUUUUUUAUAUUCAUACCUUAGGUUCUGUUAGAUGAUGUAUAUGAAAUUCCUUCGCACCCAUAAGAAAACUGUGAUGAGUAUAUUAGCUGUAUAAGAGUAUUGUAAGUUGAAAAUAUGAUGUGGAAAUGUUCUGUUUGUGGGAAAGAUCUGUCAACAAAGUACUCAUUGGCACGACAUAUGCGCCGUCAUUUUGAAGAAACUCCUCAGUAUUCUUGUGAAUUUUGUGGUUUGCAAUUUUCAUGGAAAGAAAGUCUUAACUUUCAUACAAAGAAAAAACAUGGCAAUAUAAUACAAGCAGAUGGAUGUGGAAAUCAAGAGGCAAACUGAUUAUUAUAAGUUGUUCCUAUGCAUAUAUUUAUUAUUUUCACAGCUGUAGUUUAUUUAAAUAAUAAAUUGUGUUAAAGCAAGAAAUAAAAAAAUAUAUGGCUUGUUUAAAAUAUUGUACAUGAUACAGAUAUCUUUCACAUUUGCAAUUUUAAAUG
This is a long non-coding RNA of Argiope bruennichi, 779 nucleotides long. RefSeq lists it as uncharacterized. The transcript is spliced from 3 exons. The record is from RefSeq and is a predicted model, not a curated record. NCBI's taxonomy places the organism in Eukaryota, Metazoa, Arthropoda, Arachnida, Araneae, Araneidae.